This 4991-nucleotide long non-coding RNA is filed under the name Sus scrofa (pig). RNAcentral's name for it is "lncRNA (ENSSSCG00000056478.1)". The record is from RNAcentral. Lineage: Eukaryota; Metazoa; Chordata; Mammalia; Artiodactyla; Suidae.
CUUUUUGCCAUUUCUUGGGCUGCUCCCGCAGCAUAUGGAGGUUCCCAGGCUAGGGGUUGAAUCGGAGCUGUAGCCACCAGCCUCCGCCAGAGCCACAGCAACGCAGGAUCUGAGCCGUGUCUGCAACCUACACCACAGCUCACGACAACGCCAGACCCUUAACCCACUGAGCGAGGCCAGGGAUCAAACCUGCAACCUCAUGGUUCCUAGUCGGAUUCGUUAACCACUGAGCCAUGACGGGAACUCCAACCUUCCCUAUUUUUCAAAUGUUAAUCCUACUCUUGUUAAUUGAAUUUUCACAUGGGGGUUUCAGUUUACAAUCAAACAGAUCAUAAACUCUUUCAGGGUAGAAAUAAUCAAACAUAUUAUUUCUUCAGAUCCUGUACUUUGCCUCUAACAAUGAAAACCCACACAGCAUUUGUUUGAAGAGUAAAAGACUGAGGGUCUCACUUAGGUGGAGAUAUUAGGAGGAGAACAUGGACAUAGAUGAAAUACCUCUGGAUUAAAAGAAUUUGAACUUUUACUUAGAGUCUCAAUACUUCAAAGUUAGGAUAUUUGCUCUAUUAGGUAGUUGUGCUGCUGCCCCUUUUUUUGAAUAUGCUAAAAUGUGGUUUCGCUUCAGUGUCAUGUGUCAAACAAUUUUAUAGUAUUGUGAGGUGUGAAAUCUAGCCUGGAAAUUUUAAUGAAAAAUUAGUCUUGGAGAACUUCUUGAAUUUGAUUUUUAAUUAGAAUUCAUCUUAUUUGCAUUUUAUUACAGAUUAAUUUUGAACUAAUUUAGGAUUAAAUAAAUGACAAUAAUCUUGAAAUCAGGAAACUGACUUAACUGUAAGAAAUAGUUAUUUCUCAAUGUGAAAUGAGAAACAAAACGUUAUUUUUGUCUGAGAGGUCAUUGGAUUAGCUAAGAAAAGAUUUAAAAAGAAGGCUUUGGGAAAGAAAUUAAUUUGUAUUAAAGAACAUAUGUUAAUUUGACUUUUGAUGGGGAAAGCUAGUAGCUUAGAUUUGCUAACUGAAGAAAUGUUACCGAAAGUCUAAGGGUUGAAAAUAGGAUUUGUCUUUAUGAUUCAUUUCUAAUUAUUGUCUGGUUUAUUUCUGUAUUUUCUAAUUGAAAUAGCAUUUAGGCUUCUUUAAAAAUAUUAUUUUUGUUUUGUUUGUAUAUAUAUACAUUUUUAGAGAUCAUGUUUGAAAAUUUUUAUAGAUUUGCUCAGUCAAAAAAAUCUGCAGUUUCAAGGACCAAGCCCAACACAUUCCAAGCAGUUUGAAUAGAAAUAAAAAAAUCACACUUCUAUGUUAUAUUUAAACAAUAGAAAGCUAAAGACAAAAAAUAAUACUUGAAAAGGAACAAGAGAAAAAGAUCGAUUACCUUUCCAGGAACAAGACUAAGGCAAAGAGUAGAUUUCUCAAUAGCUGUGGUGAAAACCGGAAGACAUGGGAUUAUAUCUUUUUGUUUUGUUUGUUUGCAUAUUGAUCAAGUAUCCUGGGAUUGUGGUAAACACACUCAUUAGUUUCAGAAGAUUUUUAUUUAUUUAUGUAUUUAUUUUUAGGGCCGCACCUGCAGCAUAAGGAAGUUCCCAGGCUAGGGGUCGAAUUGGAGCUGCAGCUGCUGGCCUACACCACAGUCACAGCAAAGGCAGAUCAGAGCUGAAUCUGCAACCUGCACCACAGCUCAUGGCAAUGCCAGCUCCUUAACCCACUGAGUGAGGCCAGGGAUGGAACCCGAAUCUUCAUGGAUACUAGUUGGGUUUGUUACCCACGGAGCCAAGAAGAGAACCCUCUAUUUUUCUUGCCUUUAUGCACUGCUUAGUAUGAUGAUCACUGGGAGGGUGGGGGACACACAUCUUUGUCUUGCUCCCCAUCUCAGGAAGAAAGGCUGCAGUCUUACAGCAUUGCGCUCCUUGCUUGCUGAGAGAUUUUCUCGUGAAUGGAUGUGGAGUCUUGUAAUAUGCCUUUUCUGCUACUUGCUCAUUGUGUGAAUGGUUGCCCUGGCUCCCCUCAACCUGUGUAUACAGAGAUGUCCAUUGUUUAGGUUUUGAUUCCAUUAGGAAUCAUGGGCCUCACCUAGCAGGAUGUGUAAGUUUUCUGUAGUCAAAGCCAGACAUAAGAGAAAAAAGAAAUUAAGCUCUUACUCACUGGAACUGAUCAAAUGGUUUGCAUCAUCUACAAAAAUGUUGGACUAGAUGCCCCAUAAGGUUCUUCCCAAUCGUAAUACUUUAUGGUGCCAGAAGACAUAGUGCUUCUAUGUUUGCAUUUGGAAGUCAGAAAGCUUUGAAGCUAAAAGCGCAGUUCUGGACACAGAGGUCUAGGUAGGGCAGCGACACAAGGGGAACUAGGCAGUGAUGGGCAGCAUGGAGGCACUAGGUACUUAAGAAAUUGAAUGUGUGCAAACCUAGAUGCUAAAAAGAAAUCCAGGGAGCAGUAAAAGAAACAUUACAUUUCACAUAUGAUGAGACAGUCAACUUGUCUAUAUCUCACUCAACUUCUCUAUGUCAAAAUGGUUAUAAAUCAUUCAAAUACACCAUAUUGGAGUUCCCGUUGUGGCUCAGCAGUAGUGAACCCGACUGGUAUCUAUGAAGAUUCAGGUCUGAUCCCAAGCCUCAUUCAGUGGGUUAAGUAUCCGGCGUUGCUGUGAGCUGUGGUGUAGGUCAUAGACAUGGCUCAGAUCCCAGGUUGCUGUGGCUCUGGCCUAGGCCAGCUGCUGCCUCUCCAAUUUGACCUGGGAACUUCCAGAUGCUGAAGGUACAGCCCUAGAAAGACAAAAACAGACAAAUAAAAACAAAAAACACCAUAUGUUUGAAAACAUCAAUUAUAUUAAUACCAAAUAUAAAAAUUCUGAUUGUUAAAGUAGUCUAAAAGAAGCUAACGAAAUAUAUUUCCAAGUGGAAAGAAGAUAGUCUUUCCAUAUUGAAAGGAAUGUAUGUUUAUACUAGUCGGCCUUUCAGAAGAAAUUUGGUCUUACUUCCAAGAGGUCCAGGUAAAUUCCCAACUUCAUUUUCCAAAUUUGAUAAAUUACACAAACAUUUCCUAGACUCUAUCUUGGUCAUUAUUUUUUUUGUCUGAUGUUUCCAGAAAUAUGCUUUUUUUUAAUAGGUCCUUGUGUAUUUAUUUUUAGGUAAAGCACUUUACCAAUGCAUUUAUCAUUUUAUGGCACUCUGUCGUGGUUCUUUCUUUAUCAACUUAAAAGCUUGCUAAAGACACUAAUUUCCAUUGCUGCAAGGAUACUCAGAUUCCAGUAUCUUAACAGUAGCAAGAUCUCUCUCUUUUGAAUUGUAGCUUACUUUCCUGGUCAGGCAGCCCAAAUCACCUCCUGGUAAAAGAGGGAUUGUUAUGGUGUUCUUAAGAGUUAAUCAGUCAUAUUCUGGCUCUGGGAUAUUUUGAGUAUCUUUUCCAAUUUUUAGUCAUCUCUUAGGGAAGUUUUAAAGGUUGAGUAGAUUGGCAUGACUGUUUGAUAUACCACCUGUGAGGAAUUCGGGAAAUUUCUCUUAAUGAAAAGGCUUUAAUGAAAAAUCCUUAUGGCAUGUAUACAUUUGUUUAGAAAAACCACAAGUGAUGAAAAUUGCUUUUGUGGCUAAGUAACUUUUUAGGCAUUAAUCAAAACUUUAAAGAUCUAUACUGUGGGCCUGCAAGAUGGUAAUAAAUGUGUUUUGCUGCAUCGUCUAUUAAUAGCUUUGAUGUCUUAUUAAGACAAUUCUGGGAAAUGGAAGCUUAAUUAGCUAGCUGACUCGAUUUGAAAGAGAUUUUCAAAUACUGUCCUCCAAAGCAUUAACUUUGAGAUGUUCCAGCUGGAACCCAGGGUUUAGCUGAGUUGUAUUUUUAUGACAAUUAUCCCAUAAUAAGUAUGCAGAACCACAGUUCAUAGAUACUUUCUCCUGCUAGUUUCUAUACUCUGCUGAGUUGCUUAGAGCACAAGAUCUCCGCUCGCAUGGGGUUGUGUUUAAGUCUACUAUUUUGAAAGGAUGCAGCCCUCUGCAAAGUGAGGGAUCUCACAUAUGGUCCAGCCUGGGGAAGGGUCAACACUUUCUCCUUGAUCAAUAUUUUCUGCAGUACCGUGAUGGGGAGGCCUGGAGGUGGUAGAGAGAUGGACUCCUGAGAAUUAAAGGUAUCCCAGUCCAGGCUGGAGCAGAAAGUUGAGUGUAUGCCAAGGCGUUUGGGAAAAUACAUAUCAUGGUGUGAGGAAGUUGAGAACACAUUUUUUUUUUUUGGUCUUUUUAGGGCUGCACCCACAUCAUAUGGAGGUUCCCAGGCUAGGGGUCCAAUUGGAGUGGUAGCUGCCCACCUACACCACAGCCACAGCAACAUGGGAUCGAAGCUGCAUCUGCGACUUACAUCACAGCUCACGGCAACACCGGAUCCUUAACCCACUAAGCAAGGCCAGAGAUUGAACCCACAUCCUCAUGGAUACUAGUCAAGCUCCUUACUGCUGAGCCACAGCAGAAACUCUUCAGCCACUUUUAAAAAACAAAACAAAACAAAAACUACUAAGCACAGAAAUGUCUCUUCAUCUAAAGAAAGGGAUUCCUUUGAAAAACGUAGUAAUGGUAGUCGUAGUAUUAUUGCAAGCACAUUUUUUUUUUUCUUACUCCUGAUGUUUCUGAGGGGGCUGAACUGGUGAAAUACAAUGUUUCCCCUACCUCUUUACCACUUACUUUAUUUUUUACUCCAGUUGAAAGAGGCGUCCUGCCUCUGGCUCCUUCACUCAGGAGGUCUGCGCCUGGGCAGUUCUGUUUGUGGAAAGGCCAUUUAGUUCUCACAUGAAGCUCUCCACUCCAUCUUAAUGCAUUAUUACAGUGGUACUUUGGCCUUUACCAGCUCUCCUUUCUUUUCUUUCUAAAUUGAUUCAGAAUUUGGAGAGAGAAAAAGCGUGCUCUUUCUCGGGCCUCCUGGGAAACCCCAGCAGUAACACCCAUGAACACAUACAGGGCGGUUUCACAUCCUAGAUUGUCCUUGUUACUGAUAGCAAGAUAGAGGUUUUCCUCUCAUUUGGCGUAUGGCCAAUG